RNAcentral lists this ribosomal RNA (704 nucleotides) under uncultured Bradyrhizobiaceae bacterium. Its description in RNAcentral is "bacterial SSU rRNA". It matches the Rfam family "Bacterial small subunit ribosomal RNA", at positions 28 to 776 of the family's 1533-position model. Lineage: Bacteria; Pseudomonadati; Pseudomonadota; Alphaproteobacteria; Hyphomicrobiales; Nitrobacteraceae. The record is from RNAcentral.
AGCGAACGCUGGCGGCAGGCUCAACACAUGCAAGUCGAGCGGGCGUAGCAAUACGUCAGCGGCAGACGGGUGAGUAACACGUGGGAACGUACCUUUUGGUUCGGAACAACACAGGGAAACUUGUGCUAAUACCGGAUAAGCCCUUACGGGGAAAGAUUUAUCGCCGAAAGAUCGGCCCGCGUCUGAUUAGCUAGUUGGUGAGGUAAUGGCUCACCAAGGCGACGAUCAGUAGCUGGUCUGAGAGGAUGAUCAGCCACACUGGGACUGAGACACGGCCCAGACUCCUACGGGAGGCAGCAGUGGGGAAUAUUGGACAAUGGGCGCAAGCCUGAUCCAGCCAUGCCGCGUGAGUGAUGAAGGCCCUAGGGUUGUAAAGCUCUUUUGUGCGGGAAGAUAAUGACGGUACCGCAAGAAUAAGCCCCGGCUAACUUCGUGCCAGCAGCCGCGGUAAUACGAAGGGGGCUAGCGUUGCUCGGAAUCACUGGGCGUAAAGGGUGCGUAGGCGGGUCUUUAAGUCAGGGGUGAAAUCCUGGAGCUCAACUCCAGAACUGCCUUUGAUACUGAGGAUCUUGAGUUCGGGAGAGGUGAGUGGAACUGCGAGUGUAGAGGUGAAAUUCGUAGAUAUUCGCAAGAACACCAGUGGCGAAGGCGGCUCACUGGCCCGAUACUGACGCUGAGGCACGAAAGCGUGGGGAGCAAACAGG